GGCCGCGCGGCCGGGGAGGAGGGGAGCGACAUGGCCGACGGCGACGCCUCAGCCCACCCUGGAAACUCUACGGACGAUUGCCGAUGAAGAGUGGGUCAUUCUGGCAGAGAUGUGUCCGUGGAGUCGCUAUGAGUUGGAAACGACUCGACAGCAUGACUAGACAGGAGGGGAAAGUAACAGAAUGUAAAGACUGCCAAGGAAGCUUUCGUUCUGACUGAACUCAGUGACCUGGACAGCAGCACACUGAGGCCCUUACAAGUAUCCUCUACCCCUGGACUCGUUGGACUCUCAGCUUUAUAUUCUCUUUAUUUAUUUGCUAUUGUUUUAAUGAGAUGUUCAUCCCCUUGAUUCUAUUUAUUGCUAUUGUUCUUGUCUG
Ornithorhynchus anatinus (platypus) is the source of this 376-nucleotide long non-coding RNA. RefSeq lists it as uncharacterized. Lineage: Eukaryota; Metazoa; Chordata; Mammalia; Monotremata; Ornithorhynchidae. The record is from RefSeq and is a predicted model, not a curated record. The transcript is spliced from 3 exons.